UGUGUAGGUGGUCAUACUAGUCGUUUGUUAAAACCCCGGGCCUAACCCGGGAAGUGCGGGCGAAACGGUAUGACUCGAGGGUGUGAGAGGUGCAUAGAACUCUAGGUGUAGGGGUGAAAUCCGUUGAUAUCUAGGGGAAUACCGAAAGCGAAGGCAGUGCACUGGCGCAUUCCUGACACUCAAACACAAAAGCGUGGGUAGCGAACG
Molecule: ribosomal RNA, 207 nt
Filed under: uncultured bacterium
Lineage: Bacteria
Description: partial 16S ribosomal RNA
Rfam family: Bacterial small subunit ribosomal RNA
Source: RNAcentral